GGAUACACGUAUGCCUUCUAAACAGACCCACCCCUGGGCAGACACGUGGCUGGGAUGUCUUAUAAUAACAAGCUCUGAUGGAGUGGCUGGUUCCCCGCUCUAAGCCUGAAAGCGGGGCCCUGGGUGAGGCCCACGGUCUGACGCUCUCACAGCCCAGUCUGGGCUGCGUGUCCAGGCUCCAGCCCAAAGGGGCCUCCGGCAGCUCUAGGUGGGUCAGCCUCGUGUGUGCUCCACCUUGGCGUGUGUGUGCACGUCACGUGUGAACAAGCCAUGUGCACAGAUCUUUCUCCUAUGUCCUCAGCGCCCCUCCCCGGGCCCAGAUAUAAAUUAAUACUCUUUCAUCACACGGAUUGACCCCUACAUUCUGAUGAGGUUGCAAAUGCCUCCCCUCACUUAGCACAUUUAAAGGAUAUUUUAAGACUACUUCCUGCCCAAUUAGGACUUGUCCCUGGUACGCUCUGUCCUUGGCACCGGACGUUGUUGUCGGCGAUUCUACACGGAUCUCCGCACGAGGGUGGAUGUGUGGUCCCCAUGCUGGGUUGCUCAGUCAUGCCCGACUCUUUGUGACCCCAUGCACUGUAGUCCGCCAGGCUCCUUUGUCUGUGGGAUUCUCCAGGCAAGAAUGCUGGAGUGGGUUGCUGUGUCCUCCUCCAGGGGAUCUUCCUGACCCAGGGUUAAACCUGCAUCUCUUAGGUCUCCUGCAUUGGCAGGCGGGUUCUUUAGCACAAGCACCGCCUGGGAAGCCCGUAUAGUCCCCAGGUCCUCUGACUUUUCUAGAACAGUUUGAUGAGCUUCAUCCUCCUCUUCGUCUGUUUUGAGGCUGUGUGAUGUCUGCUUUUCAUGCUCAGCUCUGUGUCGGGAUGGAGUUUGUCAAAUUGACCACAGCCGACUCAACUUAUUUAUGGGAAAAAAAAAAAAAAGCGCAAGUCAUCCAGGGGCUGAUGAAGUCAGCCCGAGCACCCCUCAAGAGGGACAGCACCCUUCCAGGCUGAGCAGCAGGAUGGGUGUACGUCCACAAAUUUAAAAAAAAAAACAAAAAAACGCAGAGGUGAAGGCGGACCGCCUGAUGUCAUGAUAAAAGUCAUAAAAUGCUGAGGAUUGGGAGGGAAGAUAAAUAGGUUUCCUCCACGGAAGAACAGAUUGCUGUGACUCUGGGCUCCUGUAGAUGCCCCAGACGCUUCUGCAGAGACGUCGUCUCUAGAACGUACCCGGCUGGCUUAGCAGGAUCCUGUCCCCUGAGGACUCUAGCAGUCCCUCCUGGGGUUCCACAUCACUCUGAGUACUCAGGUCUCAUCGACAGCGAACGCGUGCAGGCGACAGGAGCGAUGAUUCUGUUUCCAGCUGGAUCCUGGGCUUCUGACCUAAGCAUGUCCCAAGUGACCUGUUCCCUGCGAGACAGCCCGUGCCGACCUCCGGGGGCCUCGUGUUCCGUCUGGACGGAGACCAUCUCCGCGGAGGGCCCUGCCCGUGGGGCCAGCCGUCCCUGUAAGAG
Bos taurus (domestic cattle) is the source of this 1492-nucleotide long non-coding RNA. NCBI's taxonomy places the organism in Eukaryota, Metazoa, Chordata, Mammalia, Artiodactyla, Bovidae. The record is from Ensembl.